GACGAACGCUGGCGGCGUGCUUAACACAUGCAAGUCGAACGGAAAGGCCCUGCUUGCCGGGUACUCGAGUGGCGAACGGGUGAGUAACACGUGGGUGAUCUGCCCUUCACUUCGGGAUAAGCCUGGGAAACUGGGUCUAAUACCGGCUAGGAGCCAUUUUUAGUGUGAUGGUUGGAAAGUUUUUUCGGUGUAGGAUGAGCUCGCGGCCUAUCAGCUUGUUGGUGGGGUAAUGGCCUACCAAGGCGGCGGCGGGAAGCCGGCCUGAGAGGGUGGACGGCCACAUUGGGACCGAGAGACGGCCCAGACGCCGACGGGAGGCAGCAGUGGGGAAGAUUGCACAAGGGGCGCAAGCCGGAUGCAGCGACGCCGCGGGGGGGAUGACGGCCUUCGGGUUGAAAACACCUUUCGCUAGGGACGAAGCUUUUUGUGACGGUACCGAGAGAAGAAGCACCGGCUAACUACGUG
This 465-nucleotide ribosomal RNA is filed under the name uncultured bacterium. RNAcentral describes it as "partial 16S ribosomal RNA". It matches the Rfam family "Bacterial small subunit ribosomal RNA", at positions 28 to 507 of the family's 1533-position model. The record is from RNAcentral.